Molecule: long non-coding RNA, 322 nt
Organism: Homo sapiens (human)
Lineage: Eukaryota; Metazoa; Chordata; Mammalia; Primates; Hominidae
Exons: 3
Source: RefSeq, a predicted model, not a curated record
UCGCUCUUAAGUCAGUGGAGAACUAUCUUCAUACUUUCCUGGGUCUGAGAUGCGUUUGUCUGGGUUGCAAUGGGCAUGAAUAAAGACUCACCCAUUUUUUGUUAAAGAAUAACUAGAUAAUCUAGCCUCUGAGGGGGUGACAGCUGGACUCAACUGAUGAGAAGAAGUGAACCAAGCAAAGACUUGAGGGAAGUCAACUCCAGGCACAGCAAAGGAUGAGUGCAAAGGCUAUGAGCUUGAUGCAAAAGACCACAGUGACCUUAGCAGAUGUGUGAAGACAGCAGAGCCACAAGACUGAAAGAACCGCGAUUACUGAAUCACA